AUUGAACGCUGGCGGAAUGCUUUACACAUGCAAGUCGAGCGGCAGCGCGGGGGCAACCCUGGCGGCGAGCGGCGAACGGGUGAGUAAUACAUCGGAACGUGUCCUUGAGUGGGGGAUAGCUCGGCGAAAGCCGGAUUAAUACCGCAUAAGCUCUGAGGAGAAAGCGGGGGAUCGCAAGACCUCGCGCUAUUGGAGCGGCCGAUGUCAGAUUAGGUUGUUGGNGGGGUAAGGCCUACCAAGCCGACGAUGGGUAGCCGAUCUGAGAGGAUGACCGCCACACUGGGACUGAGAUACGGCCCAGGCUCCGUACGGGAGCAGCAGGUGGGGAAUAUUGGACAA
RNAcentral lists this ribosomal RNA (339 nucleotides) under uncultured bacterium. Its description in RNAcentral is "bacterial SSU rRNA". It matches the Rfam family "Bacterial small subunit ribosomal RNA", at positions 29 to 371 of the family's 1533-position model. The record is from RNAcentral.